CGGGGUCACGUGACGCCCCCUCGGCCCCGCAAGAUGGCGGCGCCCAUGUUGGUGCCCGAGCCCCCCCUAGGGAAGCCGAGCCAUCAAAAGUACAGAGCUAUUCUGAAGAAAGAGAAGAGGAAAAAAAAGCGGCAGGCGCUUGCCAAACUAAGGGACUCAGAAGCUACAGAAAAAGAUGAAUCUGUGUCUGAGGAAGAAGAGGAGGAAGUGGAAAAAGAGGAGGAAGAAGAAGAAGAAAAAAAACUUGAGGCAGAAAGACAAAAACUACAUGAGCAGUGGUUGCUGAGAGAAGAAAAGGCCCAAGAAGAGUUCAAGCUAAAGAAAGAAAAAGAAGAGGCUGCAAGAAAACGGCAAGAAGAAGAAGAGGUGAUGUAUAAACUGACUGUUACUGUUGUGCCUGGAAAUAAGGUAGACUUAGGGUAAUAUUCUUACUGGUUUAUCAUGGACCUGUUUUUCUUGAUCCUUGUGUGUUUGAAAGCACAAGCUCUUCUGUCUUUCAUUUAGAAGAGCAAAAUUGAAAAGGAAAACAGCAACUCUUUAAUUGUCCAGAGAUUUAGUUGCUUGUGAUUGGAUGGAAACUUAAUGAUCAAGGAGCUGUUUGGGUCAAACAAGAUAGUUUUGACUUGGAUUAUAAAGCACUAUUUCCUUAAAUAAUUAAUUUUUUUAUCAUAAAGAGGAAGAUCAAAGAAGAAUGGGAAGAGCAGCAAAGAAAAGAGAGAGAAGUGGCCCAGCAGAAGCAACAGGAGAAGAAAGAGAGAGAGGUGAUUCCUGGUGGUGGGAGGAUAAACAUGUUACAUAUUCUGUUACAUGAUGAAAUGCAACAGUUAUACAUGUUGAAGAGGGAUUUUGUUAUAAUUAGCAAAUGUAUAAAUGUGUUGGUUACUCCAUUCUGUUUGAUUUCCUAAAACUGUUAAUCACUGUUAAAGAGCAUUUAAUGGAUCCAUAUAAUAGGUAACUUGUUUUAACACAUCUGGUUGUCCAGAGUGUGUAAUUGCUUACAUCAGUUAAAUAUGAAGGCACACUGCCAAUGCAGGUUCUGAUAUGUGCACUUUCUGCAUCAUGUGUUAAAGAUGGUCCUUCCUUAAUGUCUCAGUUGAACACAGUCAGUGCUGAAGAAAAUGCCCAAAGAGGAUAUGGAAUAUGGAAGUACAUUGCUGCUGUUCCUUAACACAGUUCUUAAUCAAAAGAUGUGUUACAGCUCUUCUUUACCUGACUCAUCCAACAGGACGUAUCUUUUUUCAGAGCUCCUUGGGUGGAAUAAAAAAUUAUACGGAAGAUACA
Molecule: long non-coding RNA, 1281 nt
Filed under: Lepidothrix coronata (blue-crowned manakin)
Lineage: Eukaryota; Metazoa; Chordata; Aves; Passeriformes; Pipridae
Description: lncRNA (ENSLCOG00000002664.1)
Source: RNAcentral